GUGGGGAAUAUUGCGCAAUGGGGGAAACCCUGACGCAGCGACGCCGUGUGAGGGAAGAAGGCUUUCGGGUCGUAAACCUCUGUCAGAAAGGAAGAACCUCCCAAGUCCGAAUAGGGCUUGGGACUGACGGUACUUUCAAAGGAAGCACCGGCUAACUCCGUGCCAGCAGCCGCGGUAAUACGGAGGGUGCAAGCGUUAAUCGGAAUCACUGGGCGUAAAGCGCGCGUAAGCCGCUUUGUAAGUCGGACGACAAAGCCCUCGGCUCAACCGGGGAACUGAGUUCGAUGCUGCGAGGCUUGAGUCCUGGAGAGGGUGGCGGAAGUCCGGGUGUAGGAGUGAAAUCCGUAGAUAUCCGGAGGAACACCGGUGGCGAAGGCGGCCACCUGGACAGGUACUGACGCUGAGGCGCGAAAGCGUGGGGAGCAAACAGGAUUAGAAGCCCCAGUAGUCC
Molecule: ribosomal RNA, 451 nt
Filed under: uncultured bacterium
Lineage: Bacteria
Description: partial 16S ribosomal RNA
Rfam family: Bacterial small subunit ribosomal RNA
Source: RNAcentral